This 328-nucleotide ribosomal RNA is filed under the name uncultured bacterium. RNAcentral's name for it is "bacterial SSU rRNA". It matches the Rfam family "Bacterial small subunit ribosomal RNA", at positions 476 to 794 of the family's 1533-position model. The record is from RNAcentral.
AGACUGCAGAAGAAGCACCGGCUAACUCCGUGCCAGCAGCCGCGGUAAUACGGAGGGUGCGAGCGUUAAUCGGAAUUACUGGGCGUAAAGCGCAUGCAGGUGGUUUGUUAAGUUACAGAUGUGAAGACCGGGCGUCAACCUCGGAAUUGCAUUUGAAACUGGCAGACUAGAGUACUGUAGAGGGGGGUAGGAAUUUCAGGUGUAGCGGUGAAAUGCGUAGAGAUCUGAAGGAAUACCGGUGGCGGAAGGACGGCCCCCGUCCGGACGAGAAUACUGACACUCAGAUGCGAAAGCGUGGGGAGCAAACAGGAUUAGAUACCCUGGUAGC